Molecule: ribosomal RNA, 421 nt
Filed under: uncultured bacterium
Lineage: Bacteria
Description: bacterial SSU rRNA
Rfam family: Bacterial small subunit ribosomal RNA
Source: RNAcentral
UACGGAAGGCAGCAGUGGGGAAUAUUGCACAAUGGGCGCAAGCCUGAUGCAGCCAUGCCGCGUGUAUGAAGAAGGCCUUCGGGUUGUAAAGUACUUUCAGUCGUGAGGAAGGUGUUAAGGUUAAUAACCUUAGCAAUUGACGUUAGCGACAGAAGAAGCACCGGCUAACUCCGUGCCAGCAGCCGCGGUAAUACGGAGGGUGCGAGCGUUAAUCGGAAUUACUGGGCGUAAAGGGCACGCAGGCGGUUAAUUAAGUUGGAUGUGAAAUCCCCGGGCUUAACCUGGGAAUGGCAUUCAAGACUGGUUAGCUAGAGUCUUGUAGAGGGGGUAGGAAUUCCAUGUGUAGCGGUGAAAUGCGUAGAGAUGUGGAGGAAUAACCGGUGGCGAAGGCGGCCCCGUCGGAGAAACGAACGUCGACGGC